Molecule: ribosomal RNA, 406 nt
Filed under: uncultured bacterium
Lineage: Bacteria
Description: partial 16S ribosomal RNA
Rfam family: Bacterial small subunit ribosomal RNA
Source: RNAcentral
AUUGAACGCUGGCGGCAGGCCUAACACAUGCAAGUCGAGCGAGUGGCGGACGGGUGAGUAAUGUAUGGGGAUCUGCCUGAUGGAGGGGGAUAACUACUGGAAACGGUGGCUAAUACCGCAUACUAUCGGAUGAACCCAGAUGGGAUUAGCUAGUAGGUGGGGUAACGGCUCACCUAGGCGACGAUCCCUAGCUGGUCUGAGAGGAUGAUCAGCCACACUGGAACUGAGACACGGUCCAGACUCCUACGGGAGGCAGCAGUGGGGAAUAUUGCACAAUGGGCGCAAGCCUGAUGCAGCCAUGCCGCGUGUAUGAAGAAGGCCUUAGGGUUGUAAAGUACUUUCAGCGGGGAGGCGUUACCCGCAGAAGAAGCACCGGCUAACUCCGUGCCAGCAGCCGCGGUAAUAC